This 133-nucleotide ribosomal RNA is filed under the name uncultured bacterium. RNAcentral's name for it is "partial 16S ribosomal RNA". The record is from RNAcentral.
UUCAUAUAGUACCGUCAGCCCCAAACACGUUCGGGGGUUUCUUCCUAUAUAAAAGCAGUUUACAACCCAUAGGGCCGUCUUCCUGCACGCGGCAUGGCUGGGUCAGACUUUCGUCCAUUGCCCAAUAUUCCUC